RNAcentral lists this ribosomal RNA (496 nucleotides) under uncultured bacterium. Its description in RNAcentral is "partial 16S ribosomal RNA". It matches the Rfam family "Bacterial small subunit ribosomal RNA", at positions 28 to 507 of the family's 1533-position model. The record is from RNAcentral.
GAUGAACGCUGGCGGCGUGCCUAAUACAUGCAAGUCGAGCGAACAGACGAGGAGCUUGCUCCUCUGACGUUAGCGGCGGACGGGUGAGUAACACGUGGAUAACCUACCUAUAAGACUGGGAUAACUUCGGGAAACCGGAGCUAAUACCGGAUAAUAUAUUGAACCGCAUGGUUCAAUAGUGAAAGACGGUUUUGCUGUCACUUAUAGAUGGAUCCGCGCCGCAUUAGCUAGUUGGUAAGGUAACGGCUUACCAAGGCAACGAUGCGUAGCCGACCUGAGAGGGUGAUCGCCACCACUGAAACUGGGACACGUUCCAGACUCCUACGGAAGGCGGCAGUGGGGAUUCUUCCGCAUUGGGCGAAAGCCUACCGGAGCAACGCCGGGUGGGUGAUAAGGGUCUUCGGUUCGUAAACUCUGUUAUUAGGGAAGAACAAAUGUGUAAGUAACUAUGCACGUCUUGACGGUACCUAAUCAGAAAGCCACGGCUAACUACGUG